UACGUAGGGUGCGAGCGUUGUCCGGAAUUAUUGGGCGUAAAGAGCUCGUAGGCGGUUUGUCGCGUCGGCCGUGAAAACUUGGGGCUUAACUCCAAGCUUGCGGUCGAUACGGGCAGACUUGAGUUCGGCAGGGGAGACUGGAAUUCCUGGUGUAGCGGUGAAAUGCGCAGAUAUCAGGAGGAACACCCGUGGCGAAGGCGGCUCUCUGGGACGGUACUGACGCUGAGACGCGAAAGCGUGGGGAGCGAACAGG
Molecule: ribosomal RNA, 253 nt
Filed under: uncultured bacterium
Lineage: Bacteria
Description: partial 16S ribosomal RNA
Rfam family: Bacterial small subunit ribosomal RNA
Source: RNAcentral